GUCUAUGGCUGCACCACCCUGAAUGUGCCCGAUCUCUUCUGAUCUCGGAAGCUCAGCAGGUUUGGGCCUGGUUAGUACUUGGAUGGGAGACCACCUGGGAAUACCGGGUACUGUAGGCU
RNAcentral lists this ribosomal RNA (119 nucleotides) under Carlito syrichta (Philippine tarsier). The record is from RNAcentral. Lineage: Eukaryota; Metazoa; Chordata; Mammalia; Primates; Tarsiidae.